RNAcentral lists this ribosomal RNA (51 nucleotides) under Tricholoma auratum. Its description in RNAcentral is "partial 28S ribosomal RNA". The record is from RNAcentral. Lineage: Eukaryota; Fungi; Basidiomycota; Agaricomycetes; Agaricales; Tricholomataceae.
UCAAAUCAGGUAGGACUACCCGCUGAACUUAAGCAUAUCAUAAGCGGAGGA